Molecule: ribosomal RNA, 390 nt
Filed under: uncultured bacterium
Lineage: Bacteria
Description: bacterial SSU rRNA
Rfam family: Bacterial small subunit ribosomal RNA
Source: RNAcentral
GACGAACGCUGGCGGCGUGCUUAACACAUGCAAGUCGAGCGGUAAGGCCCUUUCGGGGGUACACGAGCGGCGAACGGGUGAGUAACACGUGGGUGACCCGCCUUUAGCUCUGGGAUAAGCCUGGGAAACUGGGUCUAAUACCGGAUACGACUCCGCGGUGCAUGCUGUGGGGUGGAAAGCCUUGUGCGGCUGGAGAUGGGCCCGCGGCCUAUCAGCUUGUGGUGGGGUGAUGGCCUACCAAGGCGACGACGGGUAGCCGGCCUGAGAGGGCGACCGGCCACACUGGGACUGAGACACGGCCCAGACUCCUACGGGAGGCAGCAGUGGGGAAUCUUGCGCAAUGGGCGAAAGCCUGACGCAGCGACGCCGCGUGAGGGAUGACGGCCUCGG